CUCAUUGGUUAUCACUUGCUGCUUAUUGGUUAUCACUUGUCUGCAUUAAUUGCUCUUUGCUGCUCAUUGGCUAUUCCUAGGGACUCCUCAUAUGCGCUCAUCCGUGAUGAUUAAAUACAAACUAAGUGCUUUUGCUCUGCUCCUUGGUCAGUGCGCCGAAGGAUAAAACGAUGGAGAUAAAUGAACAGAGGGAGUAUAUAUAUUCCAUUGUACCUGCCCUGC
This 222-nucleotide long non-coding RNA is filed under the name Sorghum bicolor (sorghum). RNAcentral describes it as "long non-coding RNA (SBIC_LNC009682)". Lineage: Eukaryota; Viridiplantae; Streptophyta; Magnoliopsida; Poales; Poaceae. The record is from RNAcentral.